Molecule: small RNA, 30 nt
Filed under: Bombyx mori (domestic silkworm)
Lineage: Eukaryota; Metazoa; Arthropoda; Insecta; Lepidoptera; Bombycidae
Description: ovarian small RNA-35533
Source: RNAcentral
UGUAUUCGUCUUGUUUUGGUUGCUCAAAUU